GUCGUAACAAGGUCUCCGUAGGUGAACCUGCGGAGGGAUCAUUACACAAAUAUGAAGGCGGGCUGGAACCUCUCGGGGUUACAGCCUUGCUGAAUUAUUCACCCUUGUCUUUUGCGUACUUCUUGUUUCCUUGGUGGGUUCGCCCACCACUAGGACAAACAUAAACCUUUUGUAAUUGCAAUCAGCGUCGGUAACAAAUUAAUAAUUACAACUUUCAACAACGGAUCUCUUGGUUCUGGCAUCGAUGAAGAACGCAGCGAAAUGCGAUAAGUAGUGUGAAUUGCAGAAUUCAGUGAAUCAUCGAAUCUUUGAACGCACAUUGCGCCCUUUGGUAUUCCAAAGGGCAUGCCUGUUCGAGCGUCAUUUGUACCCUCAAGCUUUGCUUGGUGUUGGGCGUCUUGUCUCUAGCUUUGCUGGAGACUCGCCUUAAAGUAAUUGGCAGCCGGCCUACUGGUUUCGGAGCGCAGCACAAGUCGCACUCUCUAUCAGCAAAGGUCUAGCAUCCAUUAAGCCUUUUUUCAACUUUUGACCUCGGAUCAGGUAGGGAUACCCGCUGAACUUAAGCAUAUCA
RNAcentral lists this ribosomal RNA (571 nucleotides) under uncultured fungus. Its description in RNAcentral is "eukaryotic LSU rRNA". The stretch from base 210 to 363 matches the Rfam family "5.8S ribosomal RNA". The record is from RNAcentral. Lineage: Eukaryota; Fungi.